RNAcentral lists this ribosomal RNA (559 nucleotides) under Myroides odoratimimus. RNAcentral describes it as "partial 23S ribosomal RNA". It matches the Rfam family "Bacterial large subunit ribosomal RNA", at positions 5 to 628 of the family's 2925-position model. The record is from RNAcentral. Lineage: Bacteria; Pseudomonadati; Bacteroidota; Flavobacteriia; Flavobacteriales; Flavobacteriaceae.
AAAAGUUACAAAGGGCGUACGGCGGAUGCCUAGGCUUUGAGAGGCGAUGAAGGACGUGAUAAGCUGCGAUAGGCUUCGGGGAGUGGCACAUACACAUUAUAUCCGAAGAUUUCCGAAUGGGACAACCCGGCAUGUUGAAGACAUGUCACUGCGUAAGCAGAGCGAGCGUUGGGAACUGAAACAUCUAAGUACCAAUAGGAAAAGAAAUCAAUUGAGAUUCCGUAAGUAGUGGCGAGCGAACGCGGAUUAGCCCUAAAGACUUUAUAAAGAUAACAGAAUAACCUGGAAAGGUUAACCGAAGAGGGUGAUAGUCCCGUAAGUGAAAUUUUUAUAAGGUUGAUAACGAGUAAGGCGGAACACGAGAAAUUCUGUCCGAAUAUGGGAGGACCAUCUUCCAAGGCUAAAUACUCCUCAAAGACCGAUAGUGAACUAGUACUGUGAAGGAAAGGUGAAAAGCAUUUCGAAUAGAAAGUUGAAAUAGAACCUGAAACCGUACGCCUACAAGCGGUCGGAGCACGUAAGUGUGACGGCGUGCCUUUUGCAUAAUGAGCCUACGAGU